RNAcentral lists this ribosomal RNA (964 nucleotides) under uncultured bacterium. RNAcentral describes it as "bacterial SSU rRNA". It matches the Rfam family "Bacterial small subunit ribosomal RNA", at positions 8 to 947 of the family's 1533-position model. The record is from RNAcentral.
AGAGUUUGAUCCUGGCUCAGAACGAACGCUGGCGGCGUGGAUAAGACAUGCAAGUCGGACGAGAUUUUUCGUUGUAGCAAUACGAUGGAAAGUCUAGUGGCGAACGGGUGCUUAACACGUGGGCAACCUGCCAUGAAGUGGGGGAUAGCUCGCCGAAAGGCGAAUUAAUACCGCAUGUGAUUAGAGAGGACAUCCUUUCGAAAUUAAAGUCGGGGCAACCUGACGCUUCUUGUGGGGCCCGCGGCCUAUCAGCUAGUUGGUGAGGUAACGGCUCACCAAGGCUUUGACGGGUAGCUGGUCUGAGAGGACGACCAGCCACACUGGGACUGAGACACGGCCCAGACACCUACGGGUGGCAGCAGUCGAGAAUUUUUGACAAUGGGGGAAACCCUGAUCGAGCGACGCCGCGUGGAGGAUGAAGGUCUUCGGAUUGUAAACUCCUGUCAUUGGGGAACAAGGUGCAUACGUUAACUGCGUGUGUAUUGAUAGUACCCGAAGAGGAAGAGACGGCUAACUCUGUGCCAGCAGCCGCGGUAAUACAGAGGUCUCAAGCGUUGUUCGGAUUCAUUGGGCGUAAAGGGUGCGUAGGCGGCGCGGUAAGUCGGGUGUGAAAUCUCGGAGCUUAACUCCGAAACUGCAUUCGAUACUGCCGUGCUUGAGGACUGGAGAGGAGACUGGAAUUUACGGUGUAGCGGUGAAAUGCGUAGAUAUCGUAAGGAAGACCAGUGGCGAAAGGCGGGUCUCUGGACAGUUCCUAACGCUGAGGCACGAAAGGUCAGGGGAGCAAACGGGAUUAGAUACCCCGGUAGUCCUGACAGUAAACGGUGCACGUUUGGUGUGGGAGGAUUCGACCCCUUCUGCGCCGGAGCUAACGCGUUAAACGUGCCGCCUGGGGAGUACGGUCGCAGAUUAAAACUCAAAGAAAUUGACGGGGCCCGCACAAGCCGGUGGGAGUAUGUGGCUA